ACUUCAUGAUAUUCCUUUUUACAAAUAAUUUUUUUUGUUGUUUUUGAAAAAGGGUUUCUCUGUGUAGCCCUGGCUGUCCUGGAACUCAUUCUGUAGACCAGGCUGCCUGGAACUCAGAGAUCCGCCUGCCUCUGCCUCCUGUGUGCUGGGAUUAAAGGUGGGGGCCACCACUGCCAAGUUUUUCCUUUUUUUUUCUGACAAAGAAAUUUUAAACUACAUUUAUUUAUCUACACAUGCACACAUGUGAGUGUGUGUGUGUGUGUGUGUGUGUGUGUGUGUGUGUAUGUGUGUGUGUGUGUGUGUGUGUGUGUGUGUGUGUGCUUGUGUGCACGCGGUCUCAUGCAUACCAUGGUGAGUGCAUGUGGAAGUCAAACGACAGCUUGUGGGAGUCCCUUCGUUCUUUCCACAUUGUUGGUCUGAGGGAUGCAACUCAGAUCAUCAGCUUACCAGCAAGCAUCCUUAUCUACUAAGCCACCUUGAAAGCCUCAUGAUGAAACUGUAGUGAACUAAAAUUAGUGAAGUGUCUUCGUCACUGUUCUAUUGCUAAAAAGACACCUUGACCAAGGCAAUUCUUAUAAAAGAAAACAUUAGUUGGGGGUCUGCUUACAGUUUCAGAUGGUUAGUCCAUGAUCAUCAAAGCAAGAAGCAGACAGGUAUGGUACUGGAGCAGUAGCUGAGAGCUUUGCAUCAUGAUCUGCAGGCAACAUGCAGAUGCGUGCAUGUGCGCGUGCACACACACACACACACACACACACACACACACACACACACACACGGCCUUUUUUGCACUUUUGAAACCUCAAAUCCUACCUCUAGCGACACACCUCCUCAACAAGGCCAUACCUCCUCAGCAAUUCAUCAACUGGUGUGCAAGCUGCAGAAGUAUGAGCCGUGAGGUGGGAGGGUACUCUCAUUCAACCACCUCAUGAACUGUGUUUAAAUCCUUAAACAUUUCUCAGUAGCUUGUUUCAUUUUAAAUUAUGCUAAUAAUUCCAUAUUAUAAUACCAUGAUUCUCUCAACGGAGAACUUAGAAUUUGCUUUGAGUAAACAAAUUUAAUAGGUAAAAGAAAAAACAAAAAGGCUCACAUCUUUCUAAGAGAUAAAAGGCAUGAAAAAAUAAAAUCAGCACAUUUGAAAACAUUGCAAAACAAAAACACUUACAUUUGUAUGUUAUUGUCAACAUUUUAACACAGGACUUGACUCCCUCUGAAGAUCUAGAGUGCUUGUUUUCUUAUAUGCCAGAAUAAAAAUCCCGUCUCAAAGCACCGGCCAAGUGCUAGCACAUGUCCUGGUCCUGGAAACCUCCUGUGUGCUGCACGCUCCCAGGAUGCCUCUGGGAGGCAGGCCUUUCAGUGACACACAAAGGCAUGAGGAGACUCCCACCAUCUUUCCCAGCUGGAGAGGGGCAGAAAGAAGAGAAAGCCAAAGUUGCCUGACUAAACAAUGUACACAUUUUGAACAUGCUCAGCACAAAUCACUCCCGUUUCUCGAUAAAGAACCUCCCCUGAGGUGCUCUGUUAUAUUACAUACUUCAUUCAUUUCCUCAAGAUUUAUCAUAAAGCAUCAUCUGUAUUAAAUUAAUUCCUCACCAACAAUUAGCUUUGUUGUUUUAAAAAAAUGGUUGUUGACUGGGGAUGUAACUCUGUGGUAAAACAUUUGUUUAGCACUGGUGAGGCCCUGGGUUCUACCCCGAGCAUAGCAAAAUAAAAUGAAACAUAAAAAACCCUCCUAAUUUUAUGUAUUAUUUUAAAAAUAUUUUUAUUUAAUGUGCAUGCAUACAUGCAUAGAAUAUGUUUGUAUCAAAUGUGCCCCCACUCCCUCCCCUCCAAUUCUUCACUUAUCACUCACACUUUUCCCUCCCAACUUCAUAUUCUCUCUCUCCGCACAUCCACUGAGUCCAGUUAGUAUUGCCUGUACAUGCACACGUAUGGAGCCAUCCACUGGAACACAGGCAGCCUCUCAGGAACUACAUCUCUGAAGAAAACUGACUCUUCCUCCCCUAGCAGCCAUCAGUUGCCAACAGCUCCUUAGACAGGGGUGUGACUUGAUGAUCUUCUUCCCCAUCUAUGCUGAGGUUUUUAACUGGCUUGAGUUUGUGCAGCUCAUGUGCACACAGUCCUAACUGCGAUGAGCUCAUGUGUGCCCCGACAGUGUCAAAGCUCACGUGCACACACAGUCCUAACUGCGAUGGCUCAUGUGUGCCCCCGAGAGUGUCAAAGCUCACGUGCACACACAGUCCUAACUGCGAUGGCUCAUGUGUUGCCCCAACAGUGUCAAAGCUCAAGAAUACUAUUUUCUACUGACCUCUAGGUCCUCUGACUAUGGUGAUAUUUUAUUUGUGCCCUAACAAAUAAAGCUUGCCUGAAAAUCAAAAGGAAGAGCUAGCCACUAGUUAACCAUAGAGGUCUGGAGGUCUGUACAGACAGACAGGAAUAGAUAGAGCUGGUUGGAGAGAGGAAAUGAUAAGGCAGGGUGGAAAGAGGAGCUCGCUCUCUCUCGGUGGAGGAUUUCAUAGAGGUAAGAACUAGUGGCUUGCUCUCUGCCUCUCUGAUCUUUCAGCUUUUACCCCAAUAUCUGGAUCUUGAUUUUUUUAUUAAUAAGACCAGUUAGCAAUUCGUGUUACAUCUGACUCUUACAAUCUUUCGACCUCCACUUCCAAAAUUAUCCCUGAAGCUCAGGGGAAGGAGUGUGAUACAGAUGUCCCAUUUAGAGCUGAGCAUUUUAGUCUCUGCAUGUUGACCUGUUGUGAGCCUCUGUGUAGGAAGCUUCUGUGAUGAGGGUUGAUUUAUACACUAGUCUAUGGGUAUAAAGAUAAGAACUUAAGGGCCGUUUAUCACUAUGUUCUUUUAGAAUAACAGUAAUAUGUUCUCCUCUAGGGCCUAGGACCUAGCCAGCCACAGUCUUUGGCCCACUUAACUGUACAGGCAUGGGUUCUAUCUUGUGUAGCAGGCUUUAAAUCCAAUCAGAAAGCGGCUGGUUACUCCCAUAGCACUCAUGCUACCAGUGACCAUAUCUUGCCAGGUCAGUUGCUGUUGUAGCUCGCCAGGUUCACAACUGAGUAAAAUAGUUGAUUACUUUUCUGCUCUGGUAGUAAGUAUAGAACUUUCUAGCAUUGUGAAAGUUACUCAGUAGAGAUGAAGUUUCUGGGUCAGUAUGGGUUUAUUUCUCCAUGUCCUGUAGUUCAGGUAUGUAGUAUAUUCAGAAUUAGAGUCUUACUGUCAAGUUUUAGAAGGUGUUCCAGGAUAUUUGAGCAAACUGUGUAAAGAUAUGUUGCUGUUUUAUUUUGCCUGCCUAAGGCACCUGAUUGGUUUAAUAAAGAGCAGAAUGGCCAAUAUCUAGGCAGGAGAGAAUAGAUGGGACUUCUUGGGAGAGAGAGGAACUCUGGGAAGCAGAGAAGUGAGAGACACCACUGAAACGUGGAGGGACGCAGACAUACAUUACGGAGGAAAGCUGACGAGCCACAUGGCAGAAUGUAGAUUAACAGAAGCGGGUUAAUUCAAGUUAUAAGAUCUCAUUGUGAAUAAGCCUAGGCUGGAGGCCAAGCCUCUAUAAUUAAUAAGUCUCUGUGUCAUUAUUUGAGGGCUAGUGGACCCAGCAAGUCUGAUUACAUCUAGAUAGCAUGACCACACUGAGGAGAAGCCACGCCACCUGCGCCACGCAGUUACCACCUGGGUCUCUCUGUGACGACUCACAGUAGUCAGAUGCUGCUAGCAGGGACUCUGGAAAAGAGGGCAAAACAACCUCCCAGAGCUGAGACCAUUAGGUGUGGCUCCAGCUGCUGCCUACAGACCUAAGAGGACAGAGCCAGCCGCCAGCACCAUGUGCUAAGUGGAACCAUGCUGUUUAAGGUUUGGCUCACACAAUCAGAGAAGGCUGCAGACACAAAAAACCAGGUCCAGAAGAAAAACAAUCAAACAAAUAAAAACCUCUGAACAAGUACAAUAUGUUGGAAAAUGUACUUAGAUACUAAAGAAAAAAAAUAAAAUGGGUAUAAAUAGUCACAAAAAAAUUAAAAAUUAAAAAUAGUAAAGCCUUUUAAAAAAAGAGUGCCAUAAUAUAAAAAGAAUAAGCCAUGUAAAGACGGGAAAUACUCAGGGCAUCUGGAUCCUGUGUGGUGCUUUGUUGACUUUGAAUUUUUGAAUGCUGAGGAGAGAAAGACAAACUGCUGAGAGACACUGGAUUGUAGAAAAAAAUGCCAAGUUAAACCACCCUAUAUGUUUUAAGAUGUCUUAACUUUAGAAUGGAAGUCAGAAAAUGUGUUGUGUUGGGGGAGAGGUUGUGCCUUUGUUUACAGAGGAAACAAAAAGCUAUGGAUUCCUUCAAAAGUAAUGAAGAUCUGAUUUUAAUAGGGGAGACCUGAAGCUGCAGACAUGAAGGAAGAAACCAAGAAAAACCACAAGACAGGUGACAUAAAGGCUGAUCCCUCAACAUGGGAACAUCUCUGAGACUGGAUGAGAGAAGAUAAAUCUUGUUGGCCACAGAGUCCUCAUGACGUAUUAUUACAUGCCAUCCUUUUUCAUACUGUAUGGAUGGAGAUUUAUGUUAAAGUUUGGUUAUACAGUCCAAAUGGACUUAUAAAGUUGACAGAUGUCUUUUAUAUGCUCAAACAUAGAACACAGAAUCAUCUUUAGCUGAUUUGUGCAUAGUGUACGUUCCAUAUUUGUAUUAAUGCAGCUAUGUAUAUUACUUUUAAAAAUUUGUGUGUUUUUAGAACAAAAGGACCAGUCCUCAAUGAAGACAAGUAUCCCAACUGAUCCAGCCUCUCAGAAUGUCUCUGUUGCAGUUUCCUCAAAAUUCUACAUCCAGAAUAACUUCAAAGUAUCUAGUUGAGAUGGUCCAGCCUCACAGACUACUCCAGCCAGAACUUCAGUUAAGCCCUGCACUUUGCCGUCACAGAGACCGGACAACAAGUGACACAGCUAGCUCUCCCAGGAUUUGACCAUUAUCCCGAUUUCUCAGGGUCUCCUAAAGGUGCCAUAACCCACAGACAGCAGGAAGUAAUUUAAGAACAUGUUGUUCACAUUCCCAAGAGGUGGGGUGGGUGGUUUUUGGUCAUUCGGUAGGUUAUGAAUGUUUGUCAUUGUUUAGGGGGGUUGGUUGCAAGUUGUUACUGGUGAUGGUUGGAAAAAACUAAGCAAAGGAGGUUAGAUUCAGGGAUCUCUUUCUGAAAAGAAAAUGGGGGGACAUAGGAAUGGUAAGUAAACAAGAGUGUUGGCAAUAGCCUGCAACAUUUGGGAGGGUGGUCUAAGGGAUUCCACUGACCAGACCUUGAAAGAAAGUGACUCAUGCCUGGCAUUGGGUUUUUAAUUUGAGAGCCCAUGUUGUCUGGGGCAGGCAUAGUUUUCAUGCUAUAAUGUAACAUAAAUAAACCCUUUCAUAUAUGUAUGUGUGCAUAUGUAUAUAUGUAUGUGUGCAUAUGUAUAUAUGUGUAUAUGCAUGUAUAUGUGUGUGUAUGUGUGUGUGUAUAUGUGUGUAUGUAUAUGUAUAUGUGUAUACAUAUGUGUGUAUGUAUAUAUGUAUGUAUGUGUAUAUGUGUGUAGAUGUAUAUAUGUGUAUAUAUGGGUAUAUAUGUGUAUAUGUGUAUAUGUGUGCAUAUGUAUAUGUAUAUAUAUGUGUAUGUGUGUGAGUGUGUGUAUUUAGGAAGAUACUACAGUAGUGAGUUUCCAUAUGGAGUUUUAGAGCUUUGUAGUGUUAGUUAUCAUUCUCCAUGGUCCCUCCUCUUCCCUGACCUCCUAUUGAGACCUUCCUAUUCUAUUACACCCCCUUUUCUCUUCACACCAGCUGCAUUCUAUCUCCAUUUUCUUGAAAUUCCCUCAGGCCCUAAUUAGUUUCCUGUUUUCUGUGAGUAUUCCAAUUUAAACACACAUGUCUAAAAAUUCAAAGCCAACAUCCGCAUACAAGGGAAAACAUGCAGUCUUUCUGGGUCUGAGUGGCCCCACUAGGAAUGAUUAUUUAUAGCUCCAGCCAUUUACCUGAAAAUUUCAUUUUUCUUAAUAGCUGAAUAAUAAUCUAUUGUGUACAUGAACCACAUUUUUAUAAUCCAUUCAUCUGUUGAUGGCAUCCAGGCUGUUGCCAUUUUCUGGCUAUUGUGAACCUAGUAGUAAUGAACGUGAAUACACAAGUAUCUCUUUAGCACAAUAUGCCGUCCUUCGUGAAUAUGCCCAGAGUGGAAAUUCACGCUGAUUUCCACUGUGGUGGCAUCGUUUUCACUCCCAUCAGCAGUUCCUGGUCCAUUUGUUAUUGCUUGUUUUUCUAAUCGUGGCCAUUCUGACUAGGGUAAGUCAAACCUUUUCAUUUGCAUUCCCCUGAGGGCUAAGAAUGUUGAAGAAUUUAAAAAAAAAUAGUUCUUGGUCAUUUGUAUUCCUUCUUUUGAGAACUCUCUGUUCUAUGCCCAUAUUUUUAAUUAGGUUGUUUUCUUGUUAUUUAAUUUUUGCAUUCUUUGUAUAUUUUAGAUACUAACCCCUUGUUAGAUGUAUAACUGAUAAAGGUUUUCCUUGUUCUUUAGGCAGGUUCCUCUUCACUUGAAUAAUGGUGUUCUUCAAGUCCCUAUAUAGACCUUUGUUUAGACUGAUUAGUGACAAAUCCUUGAUGAUCCAUUUGUUUCCUUUAGCUACAAAGCUGUCCUGAAUAAGAGUGCACACAGAUACUUCCUGAAGGGACAUAAGACCUCAAGAAAACCCUCUGCUUUCUACUCCAGCAGUAAAUUAAGCUGAUUGUCUCCAGGUUAGCUCUGUUUUUAACAUGCAAAUUUAAUUUUACUGCCUCAUGUUUGUUUUAGAAAUUGGAAAUGCAGGCAACUUCUCUACUUCUCAGUCUUAGUUAAGAAGAAACUCUGAGACCAUUGUUCAAACAGUCAAUAAUAUAUUUUACACACAUAUAUGUGUAAGAUUUGGCCUCAAGAGUAAAUCUUCAUUGAAUUUUCCCUUAAUAAUCCCAUUUAAUAACUAAGGAGGCAAUGUCCAUAUGACCAAAGACAAGUCUUAUCAGGGACUUUGUGGAACACGACAGGACAAUGUAGAGUUUGAAUUGCCUUUGGUCUGCACCAUGGUUAAUUUUAUGCAUCAAUUUGCCUAGGUAAUGGUGUCCAUAUAUUUGGUCAAACAUUAAUCUCAGUAUUUCUGUGUAGGUACCUUUUUUUUUAAAGGAGAUUAACAUUUAAACUGAUGGAAUUUGAGUAAAGAAGAUUACCUUUCUAGUUAUGGGUGGGUCUCAUCCAACCAAUUGAAGAUCUAAAUGUCUAAAGAUUAAUCUCCCCCAAGCAAGAAGGAAUCCUAUCAGCAAACUGCUGUGGUGAUAUUUUGAACAAAUAAAAUUUGCUUGGAGAUCAGAGGACAGAACAAGCCACUAGAUUAAACAUAGAGGCCAGGCAGUGGUGGCACACAACUUUAAUCCUAGCACUCAGGAGGCAGAGGCAGAGAUCCAUCUUGAUCUCUGUGAGUUCAAGGCCAGGUUGGGCUACACAAGAUAAUCCAGUCUAAAAGAGAAACAGAGCCAGGCAGUGGUGUCACAUACCUUUAAUCCCAGCACUUGGGAUCACACACCUUUAAUCCCAGCACUUGGGAUCACACACCUUUAAUCCCAGCACUUGGGAUCACACACCUUUAAUCCCAGCACUAGGAAGGUUGAGACAGGAAGUGAUAUGGCUGGGCAGAGAAAGGAAUAUAAGGUGGGAGGAGACAGGACUAUCUCAGACUGAGGAGUUGGUGAGGUAAGACGUGGUGGCUGUGGCUUGCUCUGCUUCUCUGAUAUCUGGCUCUGGGUUUUUAUUAUAAGAUCAUUUAGGAUUCAUACAACAAACUGCCUUUGAGGUCAAAGCUUACCAGCUGUGGUAGUUUAAAUGAAAAUGACCCCCAUAGGCUCAUAGGGAGUGGUACUAUUAGGAGGUGUGGCCUUGUUGAAGGAAAUGUGUCACUGGGAUGGGCUUUGAGGUUUGAGAAGCUCAAGCCAGGCUCAGCGGCUCACUCACUCUCCCUGCUGCCUGCAGACCCAGACGUAGAGCUCUCAGCCCCUCUCCAGCCCCAUGUCUGCCUGUGUGCCCCGAUGCUUCCCACCAUGCUACUCUAUUGGCUUUGAAUUCGUCAAGUCUUCCCAGUUUCAUGGACCAAUUUCUUUAAACAAUCUUUUUCUCUCCCUCAUACACCUAGUUCUCUUUACUGGAAGCCCCCUGAUUGUAUCAGUUCAUGACAAAGUCAACCAGCUGACCUCUGGACUGACCUCUGGGAACUCUUUAGGAAAGGAAACCAGGCUGAAAAGUUCCCUGUCUCAUUUAGCUCCUUCUGAGAUCUACAUCAACUGAAUUCACUGGAAGCCCAGGCCAGAGCAGGUACAGAGAGGAGUCCUACAAAUCUAGACUCCUAGCAUGCAAAGCAAGGUAGAGCAGAGUAAGAGGAUGAGAGGGGAAGAAAACAUGGACCCUCAAAGAAAACCUGAUCACUAUUAAGACUUCACUAUGGUGGUCACCUCUAGAAGGAUGGGAUGGUCCAUUUAGGAGGGAUGUGGACAGUGGAAUUAUUUCCUUGAUGUGAAUGAUGGGCACAAUAAUUAUUCAUUAUUCUGAUCAUACUUUCCCCCUCUACCAACUUUCCCCAGAUCCUUCCCACCUCCCUAUCCACCCAACUCCACACCGUUUCCCUCCCUCUAAAAAAAGCAAACAAAUAUAAGACAACAACAACAAAAACAAGAAGUACAGACACAAAACCAUAACAAAAGAAACAGAAACAAAAAUAAACAAGCCAAAGACCAACAAGACGAAAAAUCUCCGAACAAAGCAAAAUGAGACAGAAAAACUCAAAGUACCGUUAAGUUAGUUUGGUGUUAGUCAACUACUUCGAGGCCUGGAGCAUGACCUGAAGUGUGAUUAAUACAGCAUGUGACUUCCUUUGCCAGGAGGUAUCACUUGCAGAUAGCUUCUUGGUUAGGGGUGGGAGCCAGUGUCUACUUCUCCCUCUCGGCACUGGGACCCCAUCUAGCUUGAACCUUUGUGGUUCUUGUGCAUGCUGUCACAGUCUCUGAGUUUACAAGUGCAACAGUCCUGUUGUGUCUAGAGGGACACUGUUUCCUUGAGAUUCCUGCUCAAAGAACCACAGCACCUCCUGAAACUGUUACCCUGAGGCCAACCUUUUCCGUACAGACCUUCAGGGGAUUUUCACCUAACCUACAGUAGGAUUCAUACUGCAUUUUGACUAUAGGAGGAGGAAAAGGGUAUGUGUGGCUGUGUAUAAAUUUGCUGGCUUGGUGGUAAGAAGCAGAGGGGAAUCCUUUGUAAACCAAUGCUUACUUUUUCUCUGUAACAUGGAAUAUGAGAAUGAAUAAAGAAAUGUCAAAGUUAAAGAUGGAAAAAGGAGAAAGUCUGUACCACAUCUGAGAGCCAAAGGUUAACUUGGAUUACCAGAUUAAUACUAUAUGACACUGAAGUUAAGGGACCAUGAACUUACAUGCCAUCAACGCACACAAAUUAUGACUUUCUACACAGUGAUGUUUGAAUGAGAAUGGUCCUGUAGGCUCAUAUGUUUGAAUGCUUGGUCCCCAGUUGUUGGAUCUGUUUAGGAAGGAUUAGGGGGUGUGGCUUUGUUGGAGAAGGUAUGUCAUUGGAGGUGGGCUUUGAGUUUCAAAAGCCUAGGCCAUUCCCAGUUCCUCUGUCUCUCUCUUUCUCUCUCUCGUGUUUGUGGAUCAGAUGUGAGCUCUCAGCUACCACUCCAGAGCUGUGCCUGCCUGCCAGCCAUGCUCCUUGUUGUGACAGGCAUGGAUUCCAACCCUCUGGAACUUUAAGCAAACCCUCAAUAAACUCUUUAUAAAUUACUUUGGUCAUGAGAUCUUAUCACAGCAAUAGAAAAGUAACGAAGACAUACAGUGAUGCUUCAUAAUCCAGAUAUGAAAAGUCAGAUACCUACAUGGAUCCAGUUUUAGAAUAGAAUGGGAGGGAGAGAGGGAAGAAAGGAGGGAGAGAAAGAAAUAAAGAGAGACUAUGAGGAUGUGAUAAAUGGUACAUAAAGAAAGAAAUAAAAACAAAAGACUAGCUAAGAUGGGGAGAAAAGAAAGAUCCAGAGUUCAGACAUCUUGUGAGAAUGUGAGCAGGUAGUAUGUGAGUGAUGAAUACAGAUGGCUGGAGGCUGCUCAUCCAGGGUGUCUUGGGUUUUUAUUUCUGUGAAGAGACAUAACUGACCAUGGUAACUCAUACAAAGGAAACAUUUAAUUGUGUUGGCUCACAUACAGUUCAGAGGUUCAGUCCAUCAUGGUGGGGAGCAUGACGGCAUGCAGGCAGGCAUGGUGCUGGAGAAAUAGCCGAGUGUCAUACAUCUUGCAGGCAACAGGAAGUUGACUGACACACUGAGCAGUAUCCUGAGUAUAUGAAACCUCAAAGCCCCCCCACACACACACACAGUGACACACUUCCUCCAACAAGGCCAUAUCCAUUCCAACAAAGCCACACCCCCUAAUAGUGCCACGCCCUAUGAGAUUAUGGGAUUAUGGACUAAUUACAUUCAAACCACCACACAGGGUAUCAAUUAUUUGAAUGUGUUGUCUUAGAUAUCCAUACAGAGAAUGAUCCUCCAUAGUUGUGCUUUUGGUUUUGAAUGAGUUAAUUUGUUAAGGAUAUAGCAAGCAAGAGUCCAAGAAUAAAACAGCAAACAGACACUUACAUCAUCCUACAAAAGUGGCCUGGAGAAACUGAAAAUAAAACCACCAGCUAGAGCCUCUGAUGCACAGAGAGAUUCCCAGGCAGAAGUCUUCCAGGUGAGACUUGCAAUGUGCCAUUCCCACCACAUUUAUUUUAUGUCACGAGAUAGCAGUAGCUGAGGCUUUCACUUUGGGAAGAAGCCUUCAAAUCACUUACCUCCUAGCUGUGCUCAAGGACACAAUGCUUUUACUCAAAUGUAAUUCGAAAACUCAAUCCACUCCCUCUGAUCUCAAGGAAAUAGUGUGUUCAUGUCUGUGUUAUUUUCAGCUCUCCUUUUUCCUUUUCACAGGCAAAGGGAUGGUGGUGCAUUCAGCCCAUCCCCAUCAGGGGAGCUUGGAGGAUAUUUUAAGGUCUUGAAUCUGAAGGUAGCGGGUAGGCAACCCCAUCUCUACAGACAGCUUCUUCGUUUAAACAGAGCAUGACAACUUACUAAUACAAUGUGUAUUACAGAUGUGGAGUUGUUGCAGAUGGUGACAAAGUUUCAGGUCUGGCUAUGUGUAGAUAAAGUAGAAUGGUGGUGAAGGUCACCAAAAAUAAAGAGGCUCAGGUAUGGAAAGGGAAUUCAAGUGGUCAGGGAGAUCAUUGAGACUUCGGACACAUCUGUGUUUGAGGGAAAGAGUGAGAGGCAGAUACGGGGCAUUUAAGGAAUGCUGGGUGGUAAAAGGACUGAUGGGGAACGGCUAACCGAGGGCAGUAGGAGAGAGGAGGAAGUGUAUGCAGAUGCCUCUCUUGGAUUUCAGGAGAACAGAAGAAGAAAGGUCUGAUUUCUCCAUCUGGCCUAAACAAAAUUCAAGAAGGAAGACUGGAAAAGAUUGGCAACAAGCCAAAGCCUGGGUCAACCUAGCUGACCAGAGUAAGAUACGAAGGGGAAGUUGCAUGUUGUACUAGUGAUGUGAGAAACUGGGGCAUGCUAGCUUCAACUGGCUCGACUUUUCACAAAUUUGCAUUAGUAACACCUUGAUAUUAGGUAAUGGGCAAUAUUUGGUGACCUAUCUGCCCAGCUUCACUGAAGAAGAUCCUAAAAGAUUCUCAAUGUUUAUGUUCCUCCUUGAUAGAAGAAUCUGAUAGCAGGAAACACAAAUGCCUUGCACGUACCUGUUCAGAGAGGCAUGGGAUUCCUAGAAAGAACCAGAGUGGGUUUGUGCCCAUGACUACUGGAUGAUCCUCUUGUAUAAUGCUGUCAGGAAGCUAGUUUACCAGUCUUUGCAAAAUGGCUCAAGCUGACAUCAGAAGAGACAACUUCAGAACAUGGGUCAAGGCAAAAAUUGGCUUAAGGCAAUUUGCUCUGAAAAAAUAGUGUUUCUAUUACAGUUCAGUGAUGCCACAAAUGCAGUUAAGAUGUUCAAAAUAUCCCCCGAAUCAAACUGACAGGCACCCUAGGUGCUUAACUAAUGUUUACUGACGUGAAGACAGUAACAGGGGAAGAAAAACGUUGGGUGCGUAGAGUUGUUAGUCCCUCUGAUGGUUCGAGCGGGAUUGCAGAGUGCAUAGUGUCCUGUUGAUGCCCUAGUGGGAGCCAUGUGGGGCAUCUUUACAGAAGUAAAGUUUGUGGACUUGCAAUGCUGAGGAAUGAGCUUUGGAAAAUGUGAGCUAAGUGAGGCAAUGUCAUCCUGCCAUCCUGUCAGGCCAGCUGGCCUCUCCCCAUGACAUUUCUAGCCUGAUUGUUUAGAACAGCAAUUUCAUUUAAAUCACUUUGAUUUUCUUCAAUAAAAAUUCUGGAAGCCAUGAAAGGGAUUUGUAGCAAAAUAUUGUUGUAAUCAGAGUAAUAUAAAAGAACUGAGUAAUGUAUUAGGGCAUAGCCAUUAAUAAAAUAAACUGACCUGGAAAUGCCUCCUAACCCCAGAGUCUAGCAUGCAGUUACUCUACAACAGAAGUUCUCAACCUGUGGGUCAAGACCCCUUUGGAGUCACACAUCAAAUAUCCUACAUAUCAGAUAUUUACAUUAUGAUUCAUAACAGUAGCAAAAUUACAGUUAUGAAGUAGCAGCUAAAUAAUUUAAUGGUUGGGGGUCACCACCAUAUGAGGAGCUGUGUCAGAGGGAUGAAAACCACUGCUCCAGAGAAUCUCUAGCAGUUGGGAUGGUUGUAAAGCUACAGCUAGUGAAGACGGAAAUGCUCACUGACACAGCAGGAAGCAAAGUAAACUCGGCUUAAAAAACUGUUGGCUUUUUUAAGUCAUGCUUUGUUGUUCUUGUGUUGUACCAGGGUUAUAUAUUUCUGCACGUCUUACUUCUCAGCAUAGGCUUUCUGCAGUUCUAAAGUUAGGUUUAAUCGUCUGUGAAAACAUAUUCCCCUCAACAUGAUGAAUAUUCUAAUAACAAUUACCCAUGAUUAUUUUGAUGCAGUUCAUUCACCCACAAGCAGUUAGCUUCUUGUUAGCCAGUUCAACAGAAAUACCAUUUCUUGCUAGAUUUCACCUGAUGCAAAAGAGUUUUGACCCCUCAGAAUUCAAUAGAUCUCCUUACAAUGAAAUUUGCCAAAUUUCAUAAUAGCAAACCAAAGUACAUGAAACAUACACACAGCAAACACAACAUCUUUAAAUGCACCUGUUGGUGAUCUAAUGCUUCCUUUAUUUAGUUGUUUGUUUGUAUGAGAUAGGAUCUUAAUAUGCAGCUAUGGCUGUCCUGCAACUCCCUAUGUAGACGAUACUGGCCUAGAACUCACAGAGAUCCAUCUGUCUCUGCCUCCCUCAUGCUGAGAAGAUGUGUUUGUUUUGAUUUGAUGUGUAUGAGUGUUUGCUUAUGAGUAUGUAUGUGCACCACUUGUGUGCCUGGUGCCCACAGAGGCCAGAAGACUUCAGUUCCCCUGUAUCCUUGGAGUUACAGGUGAUUGUGAGUCACCACGUAGGUGCUGGAAACUGAACCUGGGUCCUCCCCAAGAGCAGCCAGUGCUCUUAACCUUUGAGCCAUCUCUCCAGUCCCAUUUUUACAUAAGUCAGUAAGGAUGUUCUAUGACUCAAAGGCAAAAAACUCAAGGAGACUUGAAAUACGUUUAUGCUUGCAGCUUCUGCUGUAGCCUGGGUAGAAGUUCAGGAGUGGAGUGCUGGAGAAUUUAUUCAGGCAUCUGGUUGAAGAUGCUUCCAAGGAAAAGUCUCAAAAUCUUUGCUUGCUGAUGGGAUUAGUCUAGAAGCACUUUCUUUGGUUUUCCAUAUUUACCACUUCACAGAAAAAGGUCUCUUAUCUUUCAACACAGAUUGAAUCCUGAUCCUAAAACAGGCAGGAACUUACAUAACACAAGAAUGUCUUGAAGGAGAACCUCUAAUAAGCCCUUCCUUAGCAGAAACAACAGCGACUCUGUGGUACCUGAAAUGUUUCCUGUUGAGGAGGGGAUAUGGAUCCGGCUACCUCAGAGAAAAAAACUUAGCUGGGGAAAAAAAUUACCCAAAUCCAGAUGUUUUAAUUCAAUGAGAGAAUAUCAAUGAAAGUUAAUACCAGAAUUCAGGAUUAAUGUUUAAAAUUAAAAUUAGCAUUUAUUUUCUAAAAUUUUUUAACUCUUAUUUUUAUUUUAUGUGUAUGGGUCUUUUGUCUACAUGUACGUCCACACUUCUUGUGCAUGCAGUGCCCAUCAAGGCCAGAGGUCAGCAGAUCUCCCCUUCUCCCUGUAAAUUGGAGCCAGCUGUUGGAUGCCAUGUGGGUACAGGGACUUGAACCUGGUUUGUCUGGUAGAGCGACCAGUGCUCUUAAUCACUGAGCCAUAUCUCCAGCCCCCAAUGUUUACAAUUUUUAAUGGAGCUUUGAAGAGGAAAAGAAAGCCAGUAUCACUAAAAACAUGCCCGAAGGGAUCAUCAAAGGCAACAAACAAUAAGAGGAUGCAGAAAGCACGUGUCAUUAAGAUAUGCUACGGGUUAUUUUGUUUUGCUUUUAUUUUCUUCUUCUUUUUGGAUACAGACUCUGUUGUAGCCCGGUCUGGUCUUGGUUUCCCUAUGUUGCCAAGACUGUCCUUGAACUCCUGAACCCUUAUGAAGCCUGGCUAAGAUAAGUUAAAAGUUUGAAAUGCCUUGGCCAAUUUAAUAUUUAAUGGCACCAACUGGAGUCUCAGAAAGAGAGAUGUUUCUAUUGCUAGUCACUGUAAAAUACAGUUCUAACUGCAGGCAGGAUUAUAGGCUCAGAAGGGCUGUCGUGGCAGAGGGGUCAGGUGACCUGGGUUGUGACGAUUUUGAAUGAGAGGAAAAGAACAGUUCAAAGCACGCCUGUGAAGUCUUCUAGCUGGGGUAAUGCCCAGGGACUGCCAUCGUGGAGAUUAGAGUUCCUGCAACAGCAAGCUGGGGGUGGGGGUGGGGGAUGCCAGGCUGCGGCCGGCACCAGGAGAGCCUGCCAUUUGAAUUUCAAAAUGGUUAGUGGUUGCAGUGACAGCCAGAGUGCGGUGGGGAUAAAAAACAUCUAUUGUAGUGCAUUAGAGUUCUCCAAAAAAACGUUUUAUAUCAUUUAAAGAUAGUGUGUCAUGUUUCUGCAUGAGUACAAGUCAAAAACUUCACAAAAAUAUAGUGAAUAAAUGAACCGCAUCAUUGGGGCCUGAUAGCCAUACCUGUGCUUACAACAUUGGAAAUUAUAUUCUAUAGUAGAAAGGGGUUUCCAGCUUUUCAAUAGUAAAUAACAGAGCUGGAAUCCUAAAGGCCAUACAACCAGAUUUCUAAAUAACAGAGCCGGGAUCUUAGAGGCCACACGACCAGACCUCUUUGAAGUUCAACACUUUGAAAAAUGCUAGGAGUCCUAAUUCAAAGGAACAUAUGUUCUAUUACUUAUUCAACAUUUUUAACUAAAAUAGAGCAGUUCUUUGAAAGCCCGUUAUCUAUCUACAUUUAACACAGUGGCUAGUUGUGUUUUUCAACUAGAGAGAGGCACAACUUUGCCAGAUCUUUUCUGAAUUGGGGGGGAUGUGUGACUGGAUGUGCGUGUGACAAGAACCUGCGUUCUCCUGUGGCUUCUACAAACAGCACAGUUGAAGGUGGAAAUCUUGCCAUUUGGAAGAAACCCACACAGCUGAAACAAAAUGCAGCUGUAGGCCUCCACUGGAGGAUCACUCGAAAUCAAAUGAGUAAGACUGUUGGAGAAUAUUAUCUCAAGGCGUCUUACUUUCGUUUAUGCAGAAUUCCACCUCAACCUUUGAUUCUUGAGUUCUUUAGAGGGAGAGAGGUUUAGUUAAGUUCCCUUCGUAGCUUUGCAAGGGUUGGAGCUGGCAGGGUUGCAGUUGCUGAUUCAGACAACUGUGGCUUAAAAGGCAGCAGCCAUUUCAAAAAAGGACAAGAAAAGCCAGUGUUCCUUUUGCCUAACCAAAAAGUUUCAACCAGAUGUCUGGCCUUGGCAAAAGAAUUUACUGUUUCCAGUGAACUACUUGCAAGAUCUUAUUGGCUGAGUGGCUAAUCUCAUGAUUUUGUACAUAAUUUUACAAAUCUUAUCUCUCAUUAGAUUAGUUAAAACAAUAUGAAUACAGUUUGCCCCUGAAGGCUGAAAUUCUAGGCAAGGGCUGCGGUUUACCUGUGUUAGCCCCCCACCUCCCUUUCUUAAGGUUUCUCUGCUUUUUUCAUCUUAAAGCUAGCCAAAGUCCUCUGUUCGGCUUCCGGGAGGGCGGAGCUUCAUUGUGUGUCCUUUGGAGGUUGCCUCUGGAGCACAGUUGAAGGCAUCAGCUGGUUUAUUUAUUAUACAGUGUUCUGUCUCCACAUAUCCCUGCAGGCCAGAAGAGGGCGCCAGAUCUCAUUACAGAUGGUUUUCAGCCACCAUGUGGUUGCUGGGAAUUGAACUCAGGACCUUUGGAAGAGCAAGCAGUGCUCUUAACCUCUGAGCCAUCUCUCCAGCCCCAGAAUAUAUCUCUUUAAAAUGUAAUGCUUAAUAAAGUCUUCUAGGCAGAACAACUGAA
Molecule: long non-coding RNA, 16531 nt
Organism: Peromyscus californicus insignis
Lineage: Eukaryota; Metazoa; Chordata; Mammalia; Rodentia; Cricetidae
Exons: 2
Source: RefSeq, a predicted model, not a curated record